CAAGUUACAACGCUUGAACAUUAUUUUUAUGCUAAAAAUAAAUUUAUCCGACUUGCAGGUUAGCAGAAGCAAUCUACAUUCUUUCCCGGGAAAGUCUUGGACAAGCAGGGGAUGGCGUUGCGAUAGCAUGUCAUGGAAGAGAUGCUUCUGGGUUUGGGAAGUCAUCAUCCAUUUAUAAUAGUCACAUGAUUCACUGCAAAGUAUAUGACGCAAAGAAGAACAGAUAAUAUUCAUUAUUCAAAUUGCAUUAAUGAAAAGUUGAAGAUACCAAGACAAAUUAUCAGCCAUCUCUUUCUAACAUCAUGGGGGUGGUAUCCAUAUCUUCUCAGUUUAACUUAUGGUUUUAUGGUACAAAAUUAGCACAACAGCAAGACCUUGAUUUAUGUUUUGUGAAGGACACAAUUGGUCUUCCAGAGAGGAUUAUUUCAAGCAAGCAAAUGACACAUAGCAAACCCAACCUGGAAAAGUAGGAGCGGCAUUUUCAUCAUAGCAGGCCGGAACUAGAAAGGUAGGAGUGGUAUGUCCUCCAUCUCAACUGCUCCAUCAUACAGCUCUAGAAUCUUGUGAUUUCUAAAG
This is a long non-coding RNA of Populus euphratica (Euphrates poplar), 576 nucleotides long. RefSeq lists it as uncharacterized. The record is from RefSeq and is a predicted model, not a curated record. The transcript has 2 exons. Lineage: Eukaryota; Viridiplantae; Streptophyta; Magnoliopsida; Malpighiales; Salicaceae.